RNAcentral lists this ribosomal RNA (216 nucleotides) under Glomeromycotina sp. Its description in RNAcentral is "partial small subunit ribosomal RNA". The stretch from base 40 to 216 matches the Rfam family "Eukaryotic small subunit ribosomal RNA", at positions 686 to 864 of the family's 1831-position model. Lineage: Eukaryota; Fungi; Glomeromycota. The record is from RNAcentral.
GGGUCAGUAGGUUGGUCGUGCCACCGGUACGUACUGGUCUCACUGAUUCCUCCUUCCUGAAGAACCGUAAUGCCAUUAAUUUGGUGUUGCGGGGAAACAGGACUGUUACUUUGAAAAAAUUAGAGUGUUUAAAGCAAGCUAACGCUUGAAUACAUUAGCAUGGAAUAAUGAAAUAGGACGAUCGGUCCUAUUUUGUUGGUUCCUAGGAUUGACGUA